RNAcentral lists this ribosomal RNA (253 nucleotides) under uncultured prokaryote. RNAcentral describes it as "partial 16S ribosomal RNA". It matches the Rfam family "Bacterial small subunit ribosomal RNA", at positions 525 to 777 of the family's 1533-position model. The record is from RNAcentral.
ACGUAGGGUGCGAGCGUUAAUCGGAAUUACUGGGCGUAAAGCGUGCGCAGGCGGCUAUGCAAGACAGAUGUGAAAUCCCCGGGCUCAACCUGGGAACUGCAUUUGUGACUGCAUGGCUAGAGUACGGUAGAGGGGGAUGGAAUUCCGCGUGUAGCAGUGAAAUGCGUAGAUAUGCGGAGGAACACCGAUGGCGAAGGCGGCGCUCUGGAACAUUUCUGACGCUGAGGCUCGAAAGCGUGGGGAGCAAACAGGA